RNAcentral lists this ribosomal RNA (486 nucleotides) under uncultured Glomeromycotina. RNAcentral's name for it is "SSU rRNA". It matches the Rfam family "Eukaryotic small subunit ribosomal RNA", at positions 562 to 1052 of the family's 1831-position model. The record is from RNAcentral. Lineage: Eukaryota; Fungi; Glomeromycota.
UGGUGCCAGCAGCCGCGGUAAUUCCAGCUCCAAUAGCGUAUAUUAAAGUUGUUGCAGUUAAAAAGCUCGUAGUUGAAUUUCGGGGUCAGUAGGUUGGUCAUGCCUCUGGUAUGUACUGGUCUCACUGAUUCCUCCUUCCUGAUGAACCGUAAUGCCAUUAAUUUGGUGUUGCGGGGAAUUUGGACUGUUACUUUGAAAAAAUUAGAGUGUUUAAAGCAAGCUAACGCUUGAAUACAUUAGCAUGGAAUAAUGAAAUAGGACGUUCGAUCCUAUUUUGUUGGUUUCUAGGAUUGACGUAAUGAUUAAUAGGGAUAGUUGGGGGCAUUAGUAUUCAAUUGUCAGAGGUGAAAUUCUUGGAUUUAUUGAAGACUAACUACUGCGAAAGCAUUUGCCAAGGAUGUUUUCAUUAAUCAAGAACGAAAGUUAGGGGAUCGAAGACGAUCAGAUACCGUCGUAGUCUUAACCAUAAACUAUGCCGACUAGGGA